This 519-nucleotide ribosomal RNA is filed under the name uncultured bacterium. RNAcentral describes it as "bacterial SSU rRNA". It matches the Rfam family "Bacterial small subunit ribosomal RNA", at positions 28 to 526 of the family's 1533-position model. The record is from RNAcentral.
GACGAACGCUGGCGGCGUGCCUAAUACAUGCAAGUCGAGCGGAUCUGAUGGAGUGCUUGCACUCCUGAUGGUUAGCGGCGGACGGGUGAGUAACACGUAGGUAACCUGCCUACAAGACUGGGAUAACAUUCGGAAACGAAUGCUAAUACCGGAUACGCGAUUUUCUCGCAUGGGGAGAUCGGGAAAGACGGAGCAAUCUGUCACUUGUAGAUGGACCUGCGGCGCAUUAGCUAGUUGGUGGGGUAACGGCUCACCAAGGCGACGAUGCGUAGCCGACCUGAGAGGGUGAUCGGCCACACUGGGACUGAGACACGGCCCAGACUCCUACGGGAGGCAGCAGUAGGGAAUCUUCCGCAAUGGACGAAAGUCUGACGGAGCAACGCCGCGUGAGUGAUGAAGGCUUUCGGGUCGUAAAGCUCUGUUGCCAGGGAAGAACGCUUGGGAGAGUAACUGCUCCCAAGGUGACGGUACCUGAGAAGAAAGCCCCGGCUAACUACGUGCCAGCCGCCGCCGUAAUAC